GACGAACGCUGGCGGCGUGCUUAACACAUGCAAGUCGAACGAAGUGGCGAACGGGUGAGUAACGCUUAAUCAACCUGCCCUUAAGAGGGGGACAACAGUUGGUAACGUCUGCUAAUACCGAAUACUGAAGGAGGGGUUUGCGUAUGAUUAGCUAGGUGGAGGGGUAACGGACCACCAAGGCGAGGAUCAGUAGCCGGUCUGAGAGGAUGAACGGCCACAUUGGGACUGAGACACGGCCCAGACGCCUACGGAAGGCAGCAGGGGGGAAUCUUGCGCAAUGGACGAAAGACUGACGAAGCAACGCCGCGUGAGGGAUGACGGCCUUCGGGUUGGAAAGCUCUGUUAAUCGGGACGCGGUACCGGAAUAGAAAGCAACGGCUAACUACGUGCCAGCAGCCGCGGUAAUAC
RNAcentral lists this ribosomal RNA (408 nucleotides) under uncultured bacterium. RNAcentral describes it as "partial 16S ribosomal RNA". It matches the Rfam family "Bacterial small subunit ribosomal RNA", at positions 28 to 526 of the family's 1533-position model. The record is from RNAcentral.